CCAUGAGAGUUUGAGCGUUGCCGGUGCCUCGGCCGGCUUUGUGCUGGGCGACCUCCCUGUAAGCAGGGCUGGGGUCUUUGCUUUUGCUGUAGUUGGGCUUUUGCCUGUCUGCUCCUUCGGCUGCCUGGGGAGCGUGGCCCCCUGUAACGGAGGGCGAGAGCCACCUCUCCGCACCUGAGUGGGAAACGGAGCUCGCCGGACCCCGAGGCCGCCCUGUAAGCAGGGUAGUGCCGUUUGCCCGUCCCUCUUCCUCCUCCGGCCCCUCGGCAUCGUUGCCUGGUGGUGGCCCGUAAAUGCGACGGCCCCGUACUCGGGGUGCGCGUCACGGCAUCUGGCCUUUGGCUUUAGCUGGGAAGCCCCUUGGCACGUUGAGGUCUGCGGCCUCCGUGCAGGCUAGGGACAGGUUGCAGGCUCUUGUCUGUUGCCCGCGGUUGUGGGUUUAUUCCCAGGGUUUGGCUGUGCUGCGUUGUCCUUCCCUUCUGGAAAGUCGCAUCUGUGUGCGUGUGUUCCCCUUCCUUUCCAUGUUUGUGUCUGUGGUGUGAUGGAUUGACUGAGCUUUCCCUUUAGGCUCCCACAAAAAUGGCUGCAGCCUAGCUUCGACUUCCCAGGGGGGAAUGGAGGACUUUGGUGCAUGCCACAAAAGGGGUGUUCCCUCUCAGUGCCGCGAGCGCAGCGAGUGUCCUGUCUUCCUCUAAAUUACUUAGCAUAGAUCAGAGCCACGUGGUAGUUCUGUGGCUGAGGCCGCCCUGUAGCCAGGGCUUGGGCCAGUCCUUUAGUGGGUGCCUGCUCCGCUGGCGGUGUGACAGCCCCGUAGUCGGGGCGUGUGUGCCAAGCUGUGGAGGCCUCUGUCCCGCGAGCGGCCCGCCCUGCCUGUAAUCAGGUGUGGGGAGGCUGCAGCAUUGCAGCCGGCUGCUCUAGCCAUCCAGCUGGUGGGAUUGACCCCUCCCUGUCCCGUCAGAGGGUGCAGGUUGAGGUGCUGGUUUUGUGUGUGGGGUGACCUCCCCGCUGGGUGGGUCGAGGUUGCUCCGCGGGUUCCCAAAGACGAGAGCUUGUUGAUGUUGUGCUGCUGCCGGGCGGGCCAGCCUGUAGGUCAGGCGUUGGCGGGAGCCUCGUGCUCCGCGGGGCUUGUUGGUGAGGGUGGGGUGUGGGGGUACCGUCCUGUAGGCAGGGCUGUGCGUGCCCCCGGUGUGUGCUUGGUGAGCUGCGUUGAGAGAGACCCCCUGUAGUCAGGCGGGCAUGUGGCCCUGGCCUUUCAGAGGCACGGGGCCGCGAGAUGCGGGGUUGGGCUUGCGCCCUCCCUGGAAUCAGGGCUGGGAGCCCGAGCGCGGCAUUUGGCCGUGUUGCCCCGCUGCCUGGCAGCUGAGAGUCACUCCCGCCGCUGGGGGGGAAACCGAGCUCUGUGGCUCCAGGGGUGUUGUCCACCCGCCUGUAAUCAGGGUCUGGGUGCGCGAGCGCUUGUGCUCAGCUGGCAGCCUGUGUGGGGUGACCGCCCCGUUAGCGGGGUGCGGGUCGAGGUGCCCCCUGAGUGGGAGAGAAGGAGCCUCCCGCGGCCGGUAGGGAUGGGGGCUGCCCUGUAAGGCGGGGAGCGCCAGUGCCUCGCAAUCCCAGGCCCUUUGGAAUGGAUGCAGUGGCGGGGGUCCCCUGUAAUCAGGGAAGAUGACUCUUUGGCCGCUGCUUGUUGUGUGCCCAGCUCCAUUUGCCCAGUCUGCCCGCCUCUGCGAUCCCCCGCAGCACCGGCUGGAAGCGCGCCGUGCGCCAGUGAGGAGCUGCUGCAGGAGGAGGAGGAGGAAGAAGGAGAAGCAGCGUGGGAACACAGGAGGCAGGAGCGAGCAAGAAGAGGAUGCCGAAGCGUGCCGACGCGGGGGGGAAGGAGAGAGGCAGGCUGGGCAAAGCAGGUGUCCCGUUAGCGGGGCCGCAGUCCCAUGAGAGUUUGAGCGUUGCCGGUGCCUUGGCCGGCUUUGUGCUGGGCGACCUCCCUGUAAGCAGGGCUCGGGUCUUUGCUUUUGCUGUAGUUGGGCUUUUGCCUGUCUGCUCCUUCGGCUGCCUGGGGAGCGUGGCCCCCUGUAACGGAGGGCGAGAGCCACCUCUCCGCACCUGAGCGGGAAACGGAGCUCGCCGGACCCCGAGGCCGCCCUGUAAGCAGGGUAGUGCCGUUUGCCCGUCCCUCUUCCUCCUCCGGCCCCUCGGCAUCGUUGCCUGGUGGUGGCCCGUAAAUGCGACGGCCCCGUACUCGGGGUGCGCGUCACGGCAUCUGGCCUUUGGCUUUAGCUGGGAAGCCCCUUGGCACGUUGAGGUCUGCGGCCUCCGUGCAGGCUAGAGAGAGUUCCCAGGCUCUUGGCUGUCCUUUAGUGGGCGCCUGCUCCGCUGGCGGUGUGACAGCCCCGUACUCGGGGCGUGUGUGCCAAGCUGCGGAGGCCUCUGUCCCGCGAGCGGCCCGCCCUGCCUGUAAUCAGGUGUGGGGAGGCUGCAGCAUUGCAGCCGGCUGCUCUAGCCAUCCAGCUGGUGGGAUUGACCCCUCCCUGUCCCGUCAGAGGGUGCAGGUUGAGGUGCUGGUUUUGUGUGUGGGGUGACCUCCCCGCUGGGUGGGUCGAGGUUGCUCCGCGGGUUCCCAAAGACAAGAGCUUGUUGAUGUUGUGCUGCUGCCGGGCGGGCCAGCCUGUAGGUCAGGCGUUGGCGGGAGCCUCGUGCUCCGCGGGGCUUGUUGGUGAGGGUGGGGUGUGGGGGUACCGUCCUGUAGGCAGGGCUGUGCGUGCCCCCGGUGUGUGCUUGGUGAGCUGCGUUGAGAGAGACCCCCUGUAGUCAGGCGGGCAUGUGGCCCUGGCCUUUCAGAGGCACAGGGCCGCGAGAUGCGGGGUUGGGCUUGCGCCCUCCCUGGAAUCAGGGCUGGGAGCCCGAGCGCGGCAUUUGGCCGUGUUGCCCCGCUGCCUGGCAGCUGAGAGUCGCUCCCGCCGCUGGGGGGGAAACCGAGCUCUGUGGCUCCAGGGGUGUUGUCCACCCGCCUGUAAUCAGGGUCUGGGUGCGCGAGCGCUUGUGCUCAGCUGGCAGCCUGUGUGGGGUGACCGCCCCGUUAGCGGGGUGCGGGUCGAGGUGCCCCCUGAGUGGGAGAGAAGGAGCCUCCCGCGGCCGGUAGGGAUGGGGGCUGCCCUGUAAGGCGGGGAGCGCCAGUGCCUCGCAAUCCCAGGCCCUUUGGAAUGGAUGCAGUGGCGGGGGUCCCCUGUAAUCAGGGAAGAUGACUCUUUGGCCGCUGCUUGUUGUGUGCCCAGCUCCAUUUGCCCAGUCUGCCCGCCUCUGCGAUCCCCCGCAGCACCGGCUGGAAGCGCGCCGUGCGCCAGUGAGGAGCUGCUGCAGGAGGAGGAGGAGGAAGAAGGAGAAGCAGCGUGGGAACACAGGAGGCAGGAGCGAGCAAGAAGAGGAUGCCGAAGCGUGCCGACGCGGGGGGGGAAGGAGAGAGGCAGGCUGGGCAAAGCAGGUGUCCCGUUAGCGGGGCCGCAGUCCCAUGAGAGUUUGAGCGUUGCCGGUGCCUUGGCCGGCUUUGUGCUGGGCGACCUCCCUGUAAGCAGGGCUGGGGUCUUUGCUUUUGCUGUAGUUGGGCUUUUGCCUGUCUGCUCCUUCGGCUGCCUGGGGAGCGUGGCCCCCUGUAACGGAGGGCGAGAGCCACCUCUCCGCACCUGAGUGGGAAACGGAGCUCGCCGGACCCCGAGGCCGCCCUGUAAGCAGGGUAGUGCCGUUUGCCCGUCCCUCUUCCUCCUCCGGCCCCUCGGCAUCGUUGCCUGGUGGUGGCCCGUAAAUGCGACGGCCCCGUACUCGGGGUGCGCGUCACGGCAUCUGGCCUUUGGCUUUAGCUGGGAAGCCCCUUGGCACGUUGAGGUCUGCGGCCUCCGUGCAGGCUAGAGAGAGUUCCCAGGCUCUUGGCUGUCCUUUAGUGGGCGCCUGCUCCGCUGGCGGUGUGACAGCCCCGUAGUCGGGGCGUGUGUGCCAAGCUGUGGAGGCCUCUGUCCCGCGAGCGGCCCGCCCUGCCUGUAAUCAGGUGUGGGGAGGCUGCAGCAUUGCAGCCGGCUGCUCUAGCCAUCCAGCUGGUGGGAUUGACCCCUCCCUGUCCCGUCAGAGGGUGCAGGUUGAGGUGCUGGUUUUGUGUGUGGGGUGACCUCCCCGCUGGGUGGGUCGAGGUUGCUCCGCGGGUUCCCAAAGACAAGAGCUUGUUGAUGUUGUGCUGCUGCCGGGCGGGCCAGCCUGUAGGUCAGGCGUUGGCGGGAGCCUCGUGCUCCGCGGGGCUUGUUGGUGAGGGUGGGGUGUGGGGGUACCGUCCUGUAGGCAGGGCUGUGCGUGCCCCCGGUGUGUGCUUGGUGAGCUGCGUUGAGAGAGACCCCCUGUAGUCAGGCGGGCAUGUGGCCCUGGCCUUUCAGAGGCACAGGGCCGCGAGAUGCGGGGUUGGGCUUGCGCCCUCUCUGGAAUCAGGGCUGGGAGCCCGAGCGCGGCAUUUGGCCGUGUUGCCCCGCUGCCUGGCAGCUGAGAGUCGCUCCCGCCGCUGGGGGGGAAACCGAGCUCUGUGGCUCCAGGGGUGUUGUCCACCCGCCUGUAAUCAGGGUCUGGGUGCGCGAGCGCUUGUGCUCAGCUGGCAGCCUGUGUGGGGUGACCGCCCCGUUAGCGGGGUGCGGGUCGAGGUGCCCCCUGAGUGGGAGAGAAGGAGCCUCCCGCGGCCGGUAGGGAUGGGGGCUGCCCUGUAAGGCGGGGAGCGCCAGUGCCUCGCAAUCCCAGGCCCUUUGGAAUGGAUGCAGUGGCGGGGGUCCCCUGUAAUCAGGGAAGAUGACUCUUUGGCCGCUGCUUGUUGUGUGCCCAGCUCCAUUUGCCCAGUCUGCCCGCCUCUGCGAUCCCCCGCAGCACCGGCUGGAAGCGCGCCGUGCGCCAGUGAGGAGCUGCUGCAGGAGGAGGAGGAGGAAGAAGGAGAAGCAGCGUGGGAACACAGGAGGCAGGAGCGAGCAAGAAGAGGAUGCCGAAGCGUGCCGACGCGGGGGGGAAGGAGAGAGGCAGGCUGGGCAAAGCAGGUGUCCCGUUAGCGGGGCCGCAGUCCCAUGAGAGUUUGAGCGUUGCCGGUGCCUUGGCCGGCUUUGUGCUGGGCGACCUCCCUGUAAGCAGGGCUCGGGUCUUUGCUUUUGCUGUAGUUGGGCUUUUGCCUGUCUGCUCCUUCGGCUGCCUGGGGAGCGUGGCCCCCUGUAACGGAGGGCGAGAGCCACCUCUCCGCACCUGAGCGGGAAACGGAGCUCGCCGGACCCCGAGGCCGCCCUGUAAGCAGGGUAGUGCCGUUUGCCCGUCCCUCUUCCUCCUCCGGCCCCUCGGCAUCGUUGCCUGGUGGUGGCCCGUAAAUGCGACGGCCCCGUACUCGGGGUGCGCGUCACGGCAUCUGGCCUUUGGCUUUAGCUGGGAAGCCCCUUGGCACGUUGAGGUCUGCGGCCUCCGUGCAGGCUAGAGAGAGUUCCCAGGCUCUUGGCUGUCCUUUAGUGGGCGCCUGCUCCGCUGGCGGUGUGACAGCCCCGUAGUCGGGGCGUGUGUGCCAAGCUGUGGAGGCCUCUGUCCCGCGAGCGGCCCGCCCUGCCUGUAAUCAGGUGUGGGGAGGCUGCAGCAUUGCAGCCGGCUGCUCUAGCCAUCCAGCUGGUGGGAUUGACCCCUCCCUGUCCCGUCAGAGGGUGCAGGUUGAGGUGCUGGUUUUGUGUGUGGGGUGACCUCCCCGCUGGGUGGGUCGAGGUUGCUCCGCGGGUUCCCAAAGACAAGAGCUUGUUGAUGUUGUGCUGCUGCCGGGCGGGCCAGCCUGUAGGUCAGGCGUUGGCGGGAGCCUCGUGCUCCGCGGGGCUUGUUGGUGAGGGUGGGGUGUGGGGGUACCGUCCUGUAGGCAGGGCUGUGCGUGCCCCCGGUGUGUGCUUGGUGAGCUGCGUUGAGAGAGACCCCCUGUAGUCAGGCGGGCAUGUGGCCCUGGCCUUUCAGAGGCACGGGGCCGCGAGAUGCGGGGUUGGGCUUGCGCCCUCCCUGGAAUCAGGGCUGGGAGCCCGAGCGCGGCAUUUGGCCGUGUUGCCCCGCUGCCUGGCAGCUGAGAGUCGCUCCCGCCGCUGGGGGGGAAACCGAGCUCUGUGGCUCCAGGGGUGUUGUCCACCCGCCUGUAAUCAGGGUCUGGGUGCGCGAGCGCUUGUGCUCAGCUGGCAGCCUGUGUGGGGUGACCGCCCCGUUAGCGGGGUGCGGGUCGAGGUGCCCCCUGAGUGGGAGAGAAGGAGCCUCCCGCGGCCGGUAGGGAUGGGGGCUGCCCUGUAAGGCGGGGAGCGCCAGUGCCUCGCAAUCCCAGGCCCUUUGGAAUGGAUGCAGUGGCGGGGGUCCCCUGUAAUCAGGGAAGAUGACUCUUUGGCCGCUGCUUGUUGUGUGCCCAGCUCCAUUUGCCCAGUCUGCCCGCCUCUGCGAUCCCCCGCAGCACCGGCUGGAAGCGCGCCGUGCGCCAGUGAGGAGCUGCUGCAGGAGGAGGAGGAGGAAGAAGGAGAAGCGGCGUGGGAACACAGGAGGCAGGAGCGAGCAAGAAGAGGAUGCCGAAGCGUGCCGACGCGGGGGGGAAGGAGAGAGGCAGGCUGGGCAAAGCAGGUGUCCCGUUAGCGGGGCCGCAGUCCCAUGAGAGUCCCAUUUGCCUUGGCCGGCUUUGUGCUG
Lagopus muta (rock ptarmigan) is the source of this 6678-nucleotide long non-coding RNA. RefSeq lists it as uncharacterized. The record is from RefSeq and is a predicted model, not a curated record. NCBI's taxonomy places the organism in Eukaryota, Metazoa, Chordata, Aves, Galliformes, Phasianidae. The transcript is spliced from 5 exons.